CUGAAAUGCUGAGACAACUGUUCCUUCUCCUCCCUUGAGCUAAGACCCUGAAAGCUGAACCAGUACCAUCUCCUUGGAGCACCUUCUGAGGGUCCCUCUAGCCUACAAAGUGUAGUCAAGUGGAAUUUGUGCGCUUUCCUGAUUCAGGCCCAAUCCAGUCUUCCUAUGCCAGCCACAGAGCAGUCCCAUACUCCCUUCUGCUCAAUCCUACCCUGCCUCUUCUGCCUGUGAGUAUCCUAUUCACUUGGCUUGGAUUACCUUUCUUGCUCAUCUGCAGUAGACUUUACCAAUGCUCCCUGCUAUCUGGAUCUCUUCCACGUUCAGAAGCGUACAGGUAGCAGACCAGCAAGUUAACUACAUAAUCACAUCUCUCAGUAGAACGUGACUACCAUUCCUGCAAGAACCUUAAACAAACACUUAUCACCAUCAAGAUGCCUAUUCUGGCAGAAGCCCAUUCCUCCAUCUGCAUGGAUGAUCAGAACAGAAAACAAUCCGGGAAUAUGUUGCUGUUUAGAAUUGGAGCAUCAAAAGCCAAUGCAGAAGAUACAGAAGGAGCAGCCAGGAAGAAAAUCAGGACAGUGGUGUUUCACAGAAACCUAGAGAGAAGAGAAUUUCACAGAAAAAUUAGCAGAGCAUGCCAACUACUGAUACUGAUUAGGGAAAUUUAGAAAUGUCAAAAAUCUUCUAACUCAGCCAUGAAGAGAUCACUGCUGAUUUUCUGUCAGGGAAAAACCCCAAAUAUUUUUAUAUUAAACACUUCAUGAGUCAAAGAGAAAUCACAAAUCAACUCAGAAGAUUUUAAAAACCCAAUAAAAGUGAACAUAAUACAUAAAAAAUUAUGGGAUGCAGGUCAAGCAGUGUUUAGAGAAAAUUUUGUAUCUGUAAAUGCUUGUAAUAUAAAAAACAAAGAAUCACCAAGUGCAGUGGCUCAUGCCUGUCAUCCCAACACUCUGGAGGCCAAGGAGGGAGGAUCGUUUGAGGCCAGGAGUUCGAGACUAGCCUGAGGAACAUAACAAGGCCUCACUGCAACAACAAAACAACAAAUGAAAAUUAGCUGGGCAUGGUGGCUGAUGCCCACCAUGGGCAGGUUGCUUGAGCCCAAGAGUUUCAGACCAGCUUGGGCAACAUAGUGAGACCAUGACUCUACUAAGAAAGAAAGAAAUUAGCUGGUCAGGGUGGCAUGCACUGCAUCUAUGGUUCUAGCUACUCGGGAGGCUGAGGUGGGAGGAUCACUUUUGCUCAGGAGUUUGAGGCUGCAGUGAGCCAUGAUUGCACCACUAUACUCCAGCCAAGGUAAUAGAUGGAGACCCUGUCUCAAGAAAGAAAGAAAGAAAAGGAAGAAAAGGAAGGAAAGGAGAGGAGAGGAGGGGAAAGAGGAAAGGAAAGAGGACAGGACAGGACAGGACAGGACAGGACAGGAAAGGAAA
RNAcentral lists this long non-coding RNA (1427 nucleotides) under Homo sapiens (human). RNAcentral's name for it is "HSALNT0405541". Lineage: Eukaryota; Metazoa; Chordata; Mammalia; Primates; Hominidae. The record is from RNAcentral.